CUCGUAAAAGCUUCCAACUAGCUUUGACCGUAUAGAGGUUGUCUCUGCUUGCAUUUUACCUCGAAUCAAUAACUUGGAAACUAGGGCAAACGUUCGUGCCAUACUAGACCUGACAGUCAAGGUGGUGGUAUCUGUGGUCAGUGCAAGUUUUAAUUGUACGCGAAAUCAAUCGCUUUCAUAUGCGAACGGAUACUGCAGUUUCGUUGAACUUGAACUUGUGCAGCAUGUUGUGGUGGAGAAAAGGUCGUGGAAUUUGCAUGGACUGAGGACCGCAUUGUGGCAGACGUAAGAAUGAAGAAGCGCACCAACACGUUCCAGAGUCAACCAAAAAAGCAAGCGAAACUGGAAAUUUAAAGAUUAUUUCUAUUAGUGUCUAAAACUCUGUACAAUAUUUAUAAAAAAAACCUAAAUAAAGUAUAUUAUUCAUUC
Long non-coding RNA from Photinus pyralis (common eastern firefly), 429 nucleotides. RefSeq lists it as uncharacterized. NCBI's taxonomy places the organism in Eukaryota, Metazoa, Arthropoda, Insecta, Coleoptera, Lampyridae. The record is from RefSeq and is a predicted model, not a curated record. The transcript has 2 exons.